Oreochromis aureus is the source of this 392-nucleotide long non-coding RNA. The record is from Ensembl. NCBI's taxonomy places the organism in Eukaryota, Metazoa, Chordata, Actinopteri, Cichliformes, Cichlidae.
CGGAGGAGCGCCGCUGAAAAACUCUGUUACAAUGAUUGCACAGCCAUUAAGGAUCAAAUCAGUUUCUGAAAAAUGUUCUGUUUUUUCUCCCUCUGCUUGCUUCUUACUGUCUUUGAGGCUCGGGACCAGCACUCCUGCUGUUGGACAGAAAGACAUCAACUUGAGAUAUGACUGCACUAUGGUGUUGCUGAUCACUCCAGUUAAUUCUACAAGACAUGCUGUGACAACAGGAGAGGCGAGUCCUCCGUCACAGAUGGUGUGGUCAGUGAAGAUGGUGCGCCUGCGGUUCAAGCUCAUUACAUCUCAACCCACACCCACUGCCACUGUACUUAAGGGAAGUUAAAGACUUUCUUCUGCACCUACAUUUGGAUCACCUCGAUCCAUGACAGUCA